This 1959-nucleotide long non-coding RNA is filed under the name Olea europaea subsp. europaea. Lineage: Eukaryota; Viridiplantae; Streptophyta; Magnoliopsida; Lamiales; Oleaceae. The record is from RNAcentral.
UACCACACUUUUUGUAAAAAGUUAUAAGAAUGACAUGCUUAUUUUUCAAAUUUAUAUCGAUGAUAUUAUCUUUGGUGCCACUAACACAUCUUUGUGAAGAGUUUUCUAAAAGUAUGAGAAGGGAAUUUGAAAUGAGCAUGAUGGGAAAAUUAAAAUUCUUCCUCGAGUUGCAAAUUAAACAAACUUGUGAUGGAAUCUUCAUAAAUCAAAGCAAGUAUUUGCUAGACAUGCUCAAAAAAUUUUGACAUGGAUGGGCUAAGACCAAUGAACACUCCCAUGAGUUCAGCCAUAAAGCUUGACAAAGAUAACCAAGCUACUCUUAUUGAUGUAACUAAAUAUCGAGGUAUGAUCAGAUCUCUUCUUUAUUUAACCGCUAGUAGACCCGAUAUUAUGUUUAGUAUUUGCCUAUAUGCUACAUUUCAAUCUAGUCCUAAGAAAUCACACCUUAAAUGUAACAUCCCCAAAUUUUGAUACCUAGAUAUUACCAUUUAACUUCCUCUUGAAAACAUAAAUGCGUAAGCGAUUACAUUCUUCUUUGAGCUUAAUAAAAUAUAAAAGAAUUUAAAAUAAAUUUUCAUUUCAUUUCAAAAUGAAAUGAAAUCUAAACUAUAUUGGGAUCGAGUUCGUGUCACCCCAAGUCAUCAUCUCAUAUCAUCUUCCCUUCAUCAUCUGAAAAUGAGGGGGGGGGGGGAUAACGUGGGAUGAGCUAAUGCUUAGUAAGCAAAUCUCAUGCAUAUGAUGCAUGCUCAUGAUAUGCAUAUAAGUUACUUUAAAAUAGAAACAUUUCUUAUUAUGUAUUCCCAUUCUUUCAUUUCUUUAAAAACGUAAACAUUGACGUCGUGAGCUCACUUGAUGUGAUAGCCUAUAGCCAAUCAGAAUGCAGUGGGCCAUGUUAUUUGGAACCCGAUCAAAUUUUACUUGUAGUACUGUGAAGCAGAUAACAUUAACAUUGAACAUUGAAUCGCAAGGCGGUUAAUGUACAUUAGUAGGGUGCGCUAGUCCCCCACGCCUCCCACUCACACCUUUAUAGCAUAGACAUACAUCUUGUAACAUGAACUUUUGGGAUACAUACUUUUAAAACAUUCAUUGAAUCAUGACAAUUGAAAACAUUUUAUUUGUUAAAACUUCAUGUAUGCUUAUGGGUGUAUUGAUGUGCAUGAAUAUGCAUGAAACAUUCAUGACAUAAAACUUCAUAAUUAAACAUCAUGUUCACAUAAGAGCAAUUUAGAUAACAUGUUUAUAAAUUUAAUCAUGUCACAUGCCAUGAAAACAAGGGAAGGUUUACUUGGAAUCCUUAGCAAUUUCAUUUUAUAGUGGAUAGUGGAGAUGUCCCUGGCUGCCCACAAAAUCUAUGUACCGAUUAUCAUAGGUCAUUACCAAUCAUUUAAAAGUUCAAUAAUAUGCAUUAUGACAAUCAAUCUUUAUUCUAUUAAGAUAAACUACUGAACAUGUAAAAUAAAAACUGCUCACAAUCAUAUAAAGAUUUAAAAAUGGAAUUUAUGAUUGAAAUCACUUUUGACCCAUAAAGGUACUACUAUUUAUUAUUAUUAUUAUUGUUUGAUAGGGAGUAAUUGUUAAUGUACUAAUGAAGGGAUGUCAAUCUAGAGGCAAAGUGAACAUACAUAAUGCAAUCAUAUGAACUCAUAAGGUAUUUAAUCGAAAGAAUUAUGCAAAAUUAGAAUAUUAAUGAUUGAAGCUAUAUUUUUAAUAAAGAAACUAAGUGCUCCAUUUUGUUCUCCUUUCUCAAGUGAUAUGACAACUAACUUCUAAAUUUAUAACUCAAACGGAGAGAAGGCAAAAAGUGGGUGCAAAUUAAAUAAUAAAUUUACCAAUAAAUGUGAUUUAUAGUUUUUUGACGAAGAACAUGCUUUGAUUAAAAAUAACAGCACUUUGUUUAUAUUCUCACAUGAAUAAAACUCACACUCAUUUAACCAUUCAUUUGGAGAAAAAAUGUCUAGG